CAGCCGUAAACUAUGCGCGUUAGGUGUACUGGUGACCACGAGUCACCGGGGUGCCGAAGGGAAACCGUGAAACGUGCCGCCUGGGAAGUACGGUCGCAAGGCUGAAACUUAAGGAAUUGGCGGGGGAGCACCACAACGGGUGGAGCCUGCGGUUUAAUUGGACUCAACGCCGGAAAUCUCACCGGAUAGGACAGACAUAUGAUAGUCGGGCUGAAGACUCUACUUGAUGAUCUGAGAGGAGGUGCAUGGCGUCAGUGACU
This 260-nucleotide ribosomal RNA is filed under the name uncultured archaeon. RNAcentral describes it as "partial 16S ribosomal RNA". It matches the Rfam family "Archaeal small subunit ribosomal RNA", at positions 748 to 1008 of the family's 1478-position model. The record is from RNAcentral.